RNAcentral lists this ribosomal RNA (450 nucleotides) under uncultured bacterium. RNAcentral's name for it is "bacterial SSU rRNA". It matches the Rfam family "Bacterial small subunit ribosomal RNA", at positions 395 to 859 of the family's 1533-position model. The record is from RNAcentral.
GACCGCGUGAGGGAAGACGGUCUGUGGAUUGUAAACCUCUUUUGAUAGGGAAGAAGUUCUGACGGUACCUAUCGAAUCAGCCUCGGCUAACUCCGUGCCAGCAGCCGCGGUAAUACGGAGGAGGCAAGCGUUAUCCGGAUUUAUUGGGCGUAAAGCGUCCGUAGGUGGUGGCUCAAGUCAGCGGUUAAAGCGUGGGGCUUAACUCCAUAAGGGCCGUUGAAACUGGGUUGCUAGAGUGCGAUAGGGGCAAGGGGAAUUCCCAGUGUAGCGGUGAAAUGCGUAGAUAUUGGGAAGAACACCGGUGGCGAAAGCGCCUUGCUGGGUCUGCACUGACACUGAGGGACGAAAGCUAGGGGAGCGAAAGGGAUUAGAUACCCCUGUAGCCCUAGCUGUAAACGAUGGGUACUAGGCGUUGUCCGUAUCGACCCGGACAGUGCCGUAGCUAACGCG